This 448-nucleotide long non-coding RNA is filed under the name Oryza sativa Indica Group (long-grained rice). RNAcentral's name for it is "lncRNA OsZS97_03G023660". The record is from RNAcentral. Lineage: Eukaryota; Viridiplantae; Streptophyta; Magnoliopsida; Poales; Poaceae.
AUGCCGAGUGUGGAGCGGUGUGCUUACCCUCUGCGGAGGUUCCGCACUCUUGAGGGAGUCUUGGGCGAAAGCUUUGCCUGGUCUUCCAGGUUCGGUGACAUCGACGCCAGCGGGUGCCGUUUCCUCCUUGGAGGUGUUGCCUUAUGGAUCUCUCCCCUUCGGGUGAAAACCCAGUCCAGUUUUUGGGCGGGCAUCGGCAGCGGCUCCUAUCGUUGUUUACCUCCUUGGAGGUUUCGCCUUGAAGGUCUUGCUCUUCCCUCGAUCACUUAUGUGGACAGCUGCGGCAGCAACCUUAGCUUCUACCCAGGCCAUAGGGGAGGAUUAGGCAAGGGUGUAAUGACUGGCCUCAGUGUGGGAAGCAGGCACCGACAAGGGUGUCAAGGAAGUGCAACCUUUCUUUCAAGAAGGAGAUUUCAUCGAUGGAGGAUCGAGGUAUAGAUGGCCGAAA